Molecule: ribosomal RNA, 446 nt
Filed under: uncultured bacterium
Lineage: Bacteria
Description: bacterial SSU rRNA
Rfam family: Bacterial small subunit ribosomal RNA
Source: RNAcentral
GAUGAACGCUGGCGGCGUGCUUAACACAUGCAAGUCGAGCGAAGCACUUAAGUUUGAUUCUUCGGAUGAAGACUUUUGUGACUGAGCGGCGGACGGGUGAGUAACGCGUGGGUAACCUGCCUCAUACAGGGGGAUAACAGUUAGAAAUGACUGCUAAUACCGCAUAAGACCACAAGGUCGCAUGACCCGGUGGUAAAAACUCCGGUGGUAUGAGAUGGACCCGCGUCUGAUUAGCUAGUUGGUGGGGUAACGGCUCACCAAGGCGACGAUCAGUAGCCGACCUGAGAGGGUGACCGGCCACAUUGGGACUGAGACACGGCCCAAACUCCUACGGGAGGCAGCAGUGGGGAAUAUUGCACAAUGGGGGAAACCCUGAUGCAGCGACGCCGCGUGAAGGAUGAAGUAUUUCGGUAUGUAAACUUCUAUCAGCAGGGAAGAAAAUGACG